GAUGAACGCUGGCGGCGUGCCUAAUACAUGCAAGUCGAGCGAACAGACGAGGAGCUUGCUCCUCUGACGUUAGCGGCGGACGGGUGAGUAACACGUGGAUAACCUACCUAUAAGACUGGGAUAACUUCGGGAAACCGGAGCUAAUACCGGAUAACAUGUUGAACCGCAUGGUUCAACAGUGAAAGACGGUUUUGCUGUCACUUAUAGAUGGAUCCGCGUCGCAUUAGCUAGUUGAUAAGGUAACGGCUUACCAAGGCAACGAUGCGUAGCCGACCUGAGAGGGUGAUCGGCCACACUGGAACUGAGACACGGUCCAGACUCCUACGGGAGGCAGCAGUAGGGAAUCUUCCGCAAUGGGCGAAAGCCUGACGGAGCAACGCCGCGUGAGUGAAGAAGGUCUUCGGAUCGUAAAACUCUGUUAUUAGGGAAGAACAAAUGUGUAAGUAACUAUGCACGUCUUGACGGUACCUAAUCAGAAAGCCACGGCUAACUACGUG
Molecule: ribosomal RNA, 497 nt
Filed under: uncultured bacterium
Lineage: Bacteria
Description: partial 16S ribosomal RNA
Rfam family: Bacterial small subunit ribosomal RNA
Source: RNAcentral